GACGAACGCUGGCGGCGUGCUUAACACAUGCAAGUCGAGCGGAAAGGCCCUGCUUUUGUGGGGUGCUCGAGUGGCGAACGGGUGAGUAACACGUGAGUAACCUGCCCUUGACUUUGGGAUAACUUCAGGAAACUGGGGCUAAUACCGGAUAGGAGCUCCUGCUGCAUGGUGGGGGUUGGAAAGUUUCGGCGGUUGGGGAUGGACUCGCGGCUUAUCAGCUUGUUGGUGGGGUAGUGGCUUACCAAGGCUUUGACGGGUAGCCGGCCUGAGAGGGUGACCGGCCACAUAGGGACUGGGAUACGGCCCAGACUCCUACGGGAGGCAGCGGUGGGGAAUAUUGCACAAUGGGCGGAGGCCGGAUGCAGCAACGCCGCGUGCGGGAGGAGGCCUUCGGGUUGUAAACCGCUUUCGCCUGUGACGAAGCGUGAGUGACGGUAAUGGGUAAAGAAGCACCGGCUAACUACGUG
This 467-nucleotide ribosomal RNA is filed under the name uncultured bacterium. RNAcentral's name for it is "partial 16S ribosomal RNA". It matches the Rfam family "Bacterial small subunit ribosomal RNA", at positions 28 to 507 of the family's 1533-position model. The record is from RNAcentral.